Molecule: ribosomal RNA, 195 nt
Filed under: Salmonella enterica
Lineage: Bacteria; Pseudomonadati; Pseudomonadota; Gammaproteobacteria; Enterobacterales; Enterobacteriaceae
Description: partial 16S ribosomal RNA
Rfam family: Bacterial small subunit ribosomal RNA
Source: RNAcentral
AAAUUGAAGAGUUUGAUCAUGGCUCAGAUUGAACGCUGGCGGCAGGCCUAACACAUGCAAGUCGAACGGUAACAGGAAGCAGCUUGCUGCUUUGUUGACGAGUGGCGGACGGGUGAGUAAUGUCUGGGAAACUGCCUGAUGGAGGGGGAUAACUACUGGAAACGGUGGCUAAUACCGCAUAACGUCGCAAGACCA